Molecule: ribosomal RNA, 690 nt
Filed under: uncultured bacterium
Lineage: Bacteria
Description: bacterial SSU rRNA
Rfam family: Bacterial small subunit ribosomal RNA
Source: RNAcentral
CCCCUUCGGGGGUGUAUAAAGCGGCGAACGGGUGAGUAACAGGUGGGUAAUCUGCCUUUCGGUGGGGGACAACGGCUGGAAACGGCCGCUAAUACCGCAUUCGAUUGCUUUGUCACAAGACUAGGCAAGGAAAGACGCGUUUGCGUCGCCGAAAGAUGAGCCCGCCCCCCAUUAGCUUGUUGGUGUGAUAACAGCGCACCAAGGCUUCGAUGGGUAGCCGAGCUGAGAGGUUGAUCGGCCACACUGGAACUGAGAUACGGUCCAGACACCUACGGGUGGCAGCAGUAGGGAAUAUUGCGCAAUGGGCGAAAGCCUGACGCAGCCAUGCCGCGUGGAUGAUGAAGGCCUUCGGGUCGUAAAGUCCUUUUCUGAGGGAAGAACAAGUGGGGUAGGAAAUGGCCCCGCCCUGACGGUACCUCAGGAAUAAGCAACGGCAAACUCCGUGCCAGCAGCCGCGGUAAUACGGAGGUUGCAAGCGUUGUUCGGAUUUACUGGGCGUAAAGGGAGCGCAGGCGGUUUGAUAAGUCUGAAGUGGAAGCCCGGGGCUCAACCCCGGAAGGCCUUUGGAUACUGUCAAACUUGAGUUCGUGAGAGGAAAGUGGAAUUCCAGGUGUAGCGGUGAAAUGCGUAGAUAUCUGGAGGAACAUCAAUGGCGAAAGCAGCUUUCUGGCACGAUACUGACGCUGAGGC